RNAcentral lists this ribosomal RNA (120 nucleotides) under uncultured bacterium. RNAcentral describes it as "partial 16S ribosomal RNA". It matches the Rfam family "Bacterial small subunit ribosomal RNA", at positions 796 to 918 of the family's 1533-position model. The record is from RNAcentral.
CACGCCGUAAACGAUGAGUGCUAGGUGUCGGGGGUCAAACCUCGGUGCCGGAGCAAACGCAUUAAGCACUCCGCCUGGGGAGUACGUGCGCAAGCAUGAAACUCAAAGGAAUUGACGGGG